Gossypium raimondii (Peruvian cotton) is the source of this 526-nucleotide long non-coding RNA. RefSeq lists it as uncharacterized. The transcript is spliced from 2 exons. NCBI's taxonomy places the organism in Eukaryota, Viridiplantae, Streptophyta, Magnoliopsida, Malvales, Malvaceae. The record is from RefSeq and is a predicted model, not a curated record.
AAUCAGCUAGGGAAUCAUUUUUAAUUCCCCAAAUUCCCUUCUUGCUAAGCGGUGGCCGACCUCAAUUAAUUCAAGGAAAUUUAAUCAGCCUUGAAGAGUUCAAAUAAAAUAGAACUCUUUUAGGUUGAAGCUGUUUUUAUGCAAUGGGAUCAGCUAGGAUAAAGGGGAUAGGAAUGAAUUAUUUUAAUUUUUUGCUGGAGGCCGUUAAUUCUUCCAUAAAAAGAGGCGUACAACAGUUUUAAAAGAGCAGUCGAACAGCAGAGGAAAGUAGCAGAAAAGUGUGGCACUCGAGCAAAGGAAAAUCUGAAAUUGAAUGAGCAAAAGCCGAAUCAGAAAUCUAAGUAGCAGCCCAGAAUUUCAACUAAUCAAGAGAAGAGAAGCUCGACGAUUUGGGAAUUUUUUCUUCUCCAAAAUUCAGUUUCAAAGGACUUGUGCUGGGUGGAUUAAGGCGUCAAUGACUAAGCAUUAUUCUUCUCUUGAUAUUUUCAUCUCAGCAGUUUUAAUUUGAGCCAAAGCUUAUUUGUUA